UGCAGUCGAGCGGAUCUUCAAGGGAGCUUGCUCCCGCGAAGGUUAGCGGCGGACGGGUGAGUAACACGUAGGCAACCUGCCCUCAAGACCGGGAUAACAUUCGGAAACGAAUGCUAAGACCGGAUACGCAAGCUCCUCGCAUGGGGAGCUUGGGAAACACGGUGCAAGCUGUGGCUUGGGGAUGGGCCUGCGGCGCAUUACCUAGUUGGCGGGGUAACGGCCCACCAAGGCGACGAUGCGUAGCCGACCUGAGAGGGUGAACGGCCACACUGGGACUGAGACACGGCCCAGACUCCUACGGGAGGCAGCAGUAGGGAAUCUUCCACAAUGGGCGAAAGCCUGAUGGAGCAACGCCGCGUGAGUGAGGAAGGCCUUCGGGUCGUAAAGCUCUGUUGCCAGGGAAGAAUAAGGGCCAGUUAACUGCUGGUCCGAUGACGGUACCUGAGAAGAAAGCCCCGGCUAACUACGUGCCAGCAGCCGCGGUAAUACGUAGGGGGCAAGCGUUGUCCGGAAUUAUUGGGCGUAAAGCGCGCGCAGGCGGUUUCUUAAGUCUGGUGUUUAAGUGCGGGGCUCAACCUCGUGUCGCAUCGGAAACUGGGAGACUUGAGUGCAGUAGAGGAGAGCGGAAUUCCACGUGUAGCGGUGAAAUGCGUAGAGAUGUGGAGGAA
Molecule: ribosomal RNA, 668 nt
Filed under: Cohnella xylanilytica
Lineage: Bacteria; Bacillati; Bacillota; Bacilli; Caryophanales; Paenibacillaceae
Description: bacterial SSU rRNA
Rfam family: Bacterial small subunit ribosomal RNA
Source: RNAcentral